This 21-nucleotide microRNA is filed under the name Anopheles gambiae (African malaria mosquito). RNAcentral's name for it is "aga-miR-10378-3p". Lineage: Eukaryota; Metazoa; Arthropoda; Insecta; Diptera; Culicidae. The record is from miRBase by way of RNAcentral.
UCUAUCAUUUGAGUACCAUGA